CUUGGCAGGCAGAUUCAUGGGUGUCAUUCAGAAGUGCCUAAAUCUGCUUGUUUUGUGCACAAAGAAAGAAGAACCAAUGAACUCUGUGUUCUCUGAAAGCUGGACCACCUGGUCAGUGGUCAGUGCUGUGGUAGUUAAGUUGUCUUGUUCUUGACAUAUUAGGACACAUGAGAGAGAAGGCCUAGGAGCAGCAGCAGCAGCAGUGAUUGAUGAAGUGACAUGGAGAUGAUCACCCAGCAGUGGAAGGAGUUGUGUCUACGAUUUCAAACUGAGGGACACAUCUUCCUCAGCUGUCUGGAGCCCAUCUAUCAUCACCUGAGCCUGACACCACUGGCACCCCGUACAAGUCUUGGUGCCACCCCUGGAGGAUGUGAUGUCUGACAUACGAGCAAUGUCUUCUAUAAAUUCUCCUGGGAGGAAAGUCCCUUACCAUCCUGCCAGCAAAUGCACCUGAAUUUGCAUGGCACAAAUACAUCCCAUGGACCCCAUUGCUUGGAGCUGACUCCCACAUCACAUUCACCUGUGUGAAUCAUGGGUUCCUGUCCCUCAGGGUGAAGGUGCAGCUGGGGAAGGUGCAGGACAUCUAUCUGCACUUUCUAUUGAAAAACAUACACCUGUAUUUUUCUUCCUUGUCUAACUUCCAUUCCCAUUUUCAAAAAUGCUGUUAGUUACAGUUUAAGGGAAUAAAUGAAAUUAAAAGUUUGGAUAGAAGGGAUUG
This 718-nucleotide long non-coding RNA is filed under the name Cyanistes caeruleus (blue tit). RNAcentral describes it as "lncRNA (ENSCCEG00000013287.1)". The record is from RNAcentral. Lineage: Eukaryota; Metazoa; Chordata; Aves; Passeriformes; Paridae.